Molecule: ribosomal RNA, 253 nt
Filed under: uncultured bacterium
Lineage: Bacteria
Description: partial 16S ribosomal RNA
Rfam family: Bacterial small subunit ribosomal RNA
Source: RNAcentral
UACGGAGGGUGCAAGCGUUGUCCGGAAUCACUGGGCGUAAAGGGCGCGUAGGCGGCUCAUGAAGGCUGUGGUGAAAGUCCGGGGCUCAACCUCGGAUCGGCCGUGGCGACUCGUGGGCUGGAGCACUGUAGAGGCGGGUGGAAUUCCGGGUGUAGCGGUGGAAUGCGUAGAGAUCCGGAAGAACACCAGUGGCGAAGGCGGCCCGCUGGGCAGUGGCUGACGCUGAGGCACGAAAGCGUGGGUAGCAAACAGG